Non-coding RNA from Salvelinus sp. IW2-2015, 114 nucleotides. The record is from RefSeq and is a predicted model, not a curated record. NCBI's taxonomy places the organism in Eukaryota, Metazoa, Chordata, Actinopteri, Salmoniformes, Salmonidae.
GUCCAUCAGGCCUAGGUCCUAACUUCCUGUUUUUAGUGCCCAACCGCCCAUCAGGCCUAGGUCCUAACUUCCUGUUUUUAGUGCCCAACCGUCCAUCAGGCCUAGGUCCUAACU